GGCCCUGAGAGGGCCGCAGCUUUGCACUCCGGGCAUGCGCAGUUCACCUCCUGGUUAAACCAGGUCAGGUGCUGCCUUUCCUGAAGGGGGCGCGGGCCUUGCUGGGCCUCUGGGGCGAGGAGCUGCUGCACUGGAAGGCAGUUGCCAUGUUGUGAGCUACCCUACAGAGAGGCCCAUCAGGCAAGACACAGAUGAUCCUUGCCAACAGUCAACAAGGAUUGACUGCAGUCUACAAACAGCGACAUGAAUUAUCUUAGAGGUGGAUCUUCCCAAGUCAAACCUUGAGAAGACCACAGCCCUUGAUCAGAGCCCAGAGACAGAGGACACACUCCUGAAUUCCUGGACCACAGACACUGUAAGGAUUUCGAAGCAUUUUAGUUUUGAGAAGUUCCAUUUUGGGAAGAAUGUAAGAUGUUAGAGAGACCAAGAGGGAUUUUGCUGAAAGAAGCAGUAAAAAACAGGUAAGUCACCCAUUUAAGCAUUUUGCAUUCAAAUCACUUUGAUUACAAAUUCUACAUAGUUCAAAUAGCGUUUGAUCAUGUAUUAAGAAUUUUUGGUACACAAUUUAUGCUAUCACAUGAGCCCUUAGAAUAUGCAAUUGAUACUCAUUAUUUACAAAGUCUGUAUUUGCUAAUCGUUUUGCUAGCUAAAAUGGGUCUGUAAACCCAAAGUCUCAAUACAUGCAGCUCUUUUAUAGUCAUUUGUAGAUAUGUGCACAGCAGUGCUAAAUUUGAGUUUUCUGACGUGAGCAUUCCCAGCUCAGGUCAAACAUGGCACAAAUUUUUGCCUUUUUAUUUCAGCUUUUAUGUUAUAAACAAAUGUCUUUCCAUUCUAUUAAGUGCCACUAAAUUGUUUUCUUAAUUUCUUCUUUGUGUGGUUUUUAGUGUAGAGGAGCACAAUAAUAUUAUUGUUUUUAAUGUUUAUUUAUUUUUGAGAGACAGAGAGAGACAGAGCAUGAGUGGGGGAGGAGAGAGAAAGAGAGAGAGAGAGGGAGACACAGAAUCUGAAGCAGCCUCCAGG
Felis catus (domestic cat) is the source of this 1020-nucleotide long non-coding RNA. RefSeq lists it as uncharacterized. The transcript has 3 exons. The record is from RefSeq and is a predicted model, not a curated record. NCBI's taxonomy places the organism in Eukaryota, Metazoa, Chordata, Mammalia, Carnivora, Felidae.